This is a long non-coding RNA of Nycticebus coucang (slow loris), 327 nucleotides long. RefSeq lists it as uncharacterized. The record is from RefSeq and is a predicted model, not a curated record. The transcript has 2 exons. Lineage: Eukaryota; Metazoa; Chordata; Mammalia; Primates; Lorisidae.
CACACAUUUAGUGGUUACAUCUUAUAGUAAUAGGUGGAGGCCAAAGCUCUUCUUUUUCAUUACACUGUAAUUUUUUUUUUUUACACACAGGAGUCUAAGUCUUAGUAACGGCUUAUUUUCAGUCACUUCUAGAUUCUCUGUAAAGUUGUCAUUUUUACAUACCAUUUUUAUGUGAUACUGGCAUGGCCAAUUUAUCUAGCCACUCAGGGACACAGAAGAGAUAAUUGGGUAGCUGGAAAGUUCAGCUAAAGUUUCUGGAGAUACUUGGGAGAGCAUGUGGACGAUUCAUCUUGGAAAGAAACACAGCCUGACCCCAUAAAUCAUACA